AGCAGACUCGAUCGGGGAACAAUUGAAUUUGGGGGGUGUUGGGUUCAGGUUUUGGAUCAUACGAAGAAGUAAUCGGCGGAGAAGCUAUGUCGAGGCUACGGGAGAGAUUUGUAGGAUUGAUCACUAGGAAGAGGCAAGAGGUUUCAUCGGAGUAGCGCAAAGAUUGGUAAAAGUACUUUCCUAGAGUGGAGGAGAUUGACGGUCUGGGCAAGUAUUGUUCUUCGAACCCCUUACCUUUGAAUCAGGUGUCUGAAGUAAAUGCAUUUUAAAACUGCUUUGCUGACUGAGAUAUAAUUUAAUUCCAGGUUUCAAAAGUUUUGUUUUUGUUUUUGUUUGGAGUUGAGCUAAUCAGAGAUGUUACGGGCAUUGGAAUUAAUGCAUCUGACUCCUAAAAGAACCUGUUUGUAUUUGUAUGCUCACAGCGAUUAAUAAGACUCCUGUGGUAUCCAUUUGUGCAGCAGCAAGAUGUUCUAACCUGCUUCUUUCUUCUUUAGUUAUCCAGAAUUAUUUGUGGUCAGUGUAGUGCUUCGUCCAUGGAGGUUUCGGUGGUAUAUAGAUUGGCCGUAUGACUUUAAGUAUAUGGCCUUUGAUGUUAGUGUUUCUCACUGUCGAGUUAAUUAUUGAACUUGAAGCAAGGUGAAGCUUAAUGCCUGUCGUAGGUGUUCCAUAUUAUUAAUGCAUUAUGCAGUACGUAUCUAUCCUUUUCUUUUGUAGCCUCAUUAAGCAUCCCUGCUCGUUUAUGACUUGAGGACUUAGAUUUUUGGAACCAUAGAGUUUAGAAUGCAAAAAAGAAGGAUUUUAUCUUUUUUUGUUUGUGUUUUGUGUAUGUACGUUUACCCACUAUAUAUGUCGCUUCAAGUUCUAUCAAAUGUUUCUUGUUUUUGUUUUGCCUUCAAUCCCUUGUUAAGUUCUCAAGAGAGAAGAAGAGGAGAAGAAUGCCAGAGAAGGCACUCCACGCAAAAUCAUGACCAUCAGUAUUUAGCAUUUGGUGCCCACAAAAUUUGUUACAUUUGCUUUUCAUUAAUAUAAUAGUAGCUUAAUGUUUUCCACCGGAUUCAAAAGGUUAUAAACCAGAGGAAGCUAGGGAAGAAGCAGAUAAAUCAAGGGUUAAGGAACAUGAACCCGAGAUAGUAACUGCAGAACCACUCGAACUGGCUUCACUUUUUCAAUCCUAAAGUUCACAUUCAGGAAAACAGAACCAUCAGGGUCUGGAUCAUCAUUUAGGCCCGGGACAUGGCAGCCAUCAUCGUAAGCUUACUGAUGAUUGGUUUGACUCGUACAGAUGAAUCACCAUAGACGAGAGAGCUUUUGAGGACCAAUAAUUUGUGGCCUUUCACGCUGUCAUUGGCGACCUAGAAGAGUCAAAAUGAGAAGCCAUCUUCUUAUGCCUUUGUUUUCUUUUAGGGUGUUUGUCUCUUGGCAUAGUGCUCGAGACUUUUAUUUGCCUUUGUCCUUCAUAGCUGAAGAAGAGCCUAGCUACCCUUUGUCUUUCAUCGUUGACUUUUAUUUAUUAGGAUUUAAAACCAAAAAAAAAUUCGUGUACCAAUAAACAUCAUAAUUCAAUUUUAGUAUUCA
Molecule: long non-coding RNA, 1575 nt
Organism: Capsella rubella
Lineage: Eukaryota; Viridiplantae; Streptophyta; Magnoliopsida; Brassicales; Brassicaceae
Exons: 4
Source: RefSeq, a predicted model, not a curated record